This is a long non-coding RNA of Zea mays, 1706 nucleotides long. RefSeq lists it as uncharacterized. The record is from RefSeq and is a predicted model, not a curated record. The transcript has 2 exons. Lineage: Eukaryota; Viridiplantae; Streptophyta; Magnoliopsida; Poales; Poaceae.
GCUCGGCACCUGGGAGAAAAAAUCUCGCCGCUCUAGCCGUGGUGUCCAUCUCCUGCGUCCAUCCAAGUUUCUCCCUUAUCUCAUCCGCGCGCCCUAGCCCCUGCUCAUCUUCCUCCACGCGACGUGCGCUUACCCGAGCAGCUCCCUGCCGCGCGCCCAAAUCUUCUUCCUCCCUGCGCCCCUCCCUAGAUUUUUCCCUUAGCCGCGUGCCUGACAGUCGCUUCCUCAAGCUCAGUGCUCCCUGCGCGCGCCGGUCCCCGGCCUUGCCCUGAGCCAUGGCGCUGGCCGUCGCGCCCAUGCCGACUCCCUGCUCGGCCGCCCAUCCCCCUUGCCAUGGCCAUGCCCCCCCCUUAGCUCGCCUCCCUCAAGCACGCCACGCUCCUCCCUGCUCAGCCAUGGAAGUCGCGCCGUCGACCCCGCCUGAACCCCUCCGCCGAGCCCCCUGCUUCUCUCUCCCUCCUCUCCAUCUCCAUAGUUGCGCCCCUCUGUUUCUCCCUGACGCACGCUCGUCCUCUGCCGAGGCCCCAUCUCGCCUGCGCUCGGACCGCGCCCUCGCUGUCGGUGCUUGCCUACUGCGGCCGUCCUGCUCCUUGCUGCGACCAUGCUCACCCGCGAUGCCUAGCGUCCUGCCUGCUCUGCUCGCCGUACCCAUGCCAAGCUCCCCUAUGCGCUGGUCGUCGAGUCCUCUCCCUGCUCGCCAUGGCCCUGGUCCUCGCAUCGCUGUGUGUAGCGGAAGCAUGGUGAGUUUUGGUCGCGGGCAUGGUCGUGCGACUUGGGAUCUGGGCACGCUGUUGUGGACUCCCCAUCGAUGCCCCUCCUGUCCUAACUCGACCAUCCUAGCCUGCGCAUGUCGUCGAAUCGUCGGAUUCCAUCCCCCAUGGCGCUUCCAUUUCCUCGCCAUUCCACGUCACCAGCUUCGUUCCAAUUCACUGGCCAUCUUUCUCUCCACGUCAUAGUUCUAUUAAGGGAAACGAUGUUGCUUGAGUAUUGGUCAGGAUGUGUGUAGAGAUGAGCUUGAAGAUGGGACUGUGGAUAGGGAAGAUAGUGAAGUUCCGUAUGUCACUCAUCAGAUGUUCGACGAAAACCCCAAACCAAAAAUCAUCGGUGUUCUUGCAAAUUUGAGCCGAGUAUAGUUCGGGAGAAGUCUAUGGAUGUCAAUUGGUGAAGAAGUGAGGCCCAUGUGCAUCGCUUAUCAAGUGCUCGGUCGAAGACUUCAAUCGAAGGUCGUCAUCGUUCGUGUGAUGAUCGAGUCAAAUUGCAAUAUGGUACGAUAAUUAAUCACGUGAUGCGGAGGAUCAUAACUGAGUCGACCACAAGAUGCUGGAAAGCGUGAGCCAUUCGCAAGAUGAUGCUGAUGAACGAAACUGAAGAUGGACACACAAAGCAAGUAUCGGAACAAAAGCUGAUCGCCAAGUGGACGUCACCUAACAAACACUAAUGUAGUGUUUAUUCUAGGCAAGCCCCGAUGCAUUUGCCACCUCCUUGCUGUUUUAAAAUUUUUAUCACCUUGAAUGAUGCAUUAGGUAAUAGGAGUUGUGUGAUUAAACAAUUGAUGCAUUUCCUUCCUUGAUUAAACAACCCUAAUACCUAUUUUAUGAAAAUUUAGUGAUGCUUAGCCCUGCUUAUUAAUUUAGGAUGGUUUUUAAAAGAUGAUGUGUAACACGGGAUAUGGGAGUUUGUGAAAUAAAAGGACUUGUGAUGAUGAA